This 1242-nucleotide long non-coding RNA is filed under the name Monodelphis domestica (gray short-tailed opossum). Its description in RNAcentral is "lncRNA (ENSMODG00000041522.1)". Lineage: Eukaryota; Metazoa; Chordata; Mammalia; Didelphimorphia; Didelphidae. The record is from RNAcentral.
CACAACCGAAGCUAAACAGCUUCUUCAAAGGGUUUCCGCCCUCCCUGGCCUACUUGGGCCUGUGCUCUCCUCUGCCCAGAUCCCCUUGUCCUUGGCAGUAGUAGGUGCUGUGGGGCGAUGAAUGCCCCAGCAGAGACCCUUUCCUGGGGAGGGGCUUUUUCUUUCUGACCCUGCAGAGGAACCGCUUUUAUCCUGCAUUGCCCACAGAGACAUUUUGUUUUGGCAGGUACUGGUAGAAGGUAGAAGAUCAGGAAACUGAGGCUCAGAGAGAUCCUGCCUCAGGAUGCAGUGUGCCAGAGGUAAGAUUCCCACCGAAGACUUCUAAGCUUGGAAAUCCAGUGUUUUAUCCACUAAACCACACUACUUCCUGUGUGUCUGGGACCAAGUAUUUCCAGUAACUUGAGAAAUCCUUAGAACAUCCAAAGCAGCUUAUCUGGCUGCAGCAAGGUGACAUGACUCAAACCAGUGAGGUAAGCCUGAACAGGAUGCAGUGUGCAGCUGUUAAGUUUCAUUGACUGGUUGGUGGUAGGAUGAACUUUUAGGAAACACAUUGGACUAAGACAAUGGAGUUCAAUCUUGUUCUUUUCAAAUGCUUCUUUAAUACUUUCAAAGUCCAUACAAGUGGCCACCAGAUGGAACCAUGAUUUAACGUCUUUGGAAAUAAUGGAGGCACACAUUUCUAGCUGCCAUAUUUUUGUGUAUAAACCACGAAUGUUUUUUCGACCCCUAUUUCAAACAUGGAAGAAGGAAGGAGACUGACAUGAUUCAUGGGAUUUGUUUGCCCCAAUAUGGCAAGCAUAUCAAAAAGAUGGCCUACCCCCUGUACAGAGAGGAAACCCCUUAGGACCUGCGGUUCCUUUGUUGAGAAGACACUCAAAUUGGGACGUUAACUGAAGACCCAAAAUAUUGUCAGUGGGUCCUUGAUGCCCACCGCUGAUGGUUUGUGAUUUAGAGGCUAAAGGGCCACUACUCAGGGGGAGCCAUUUUUUCAUAAACACAAUUGAAUGACAAUACAAUGAAUACCUUAGAUGGUUCCAAGUAGUCCUGGCUCUCUGGGACCCCACCAAUCUGAAACAUAUGGUGAAUUUGUUUUCAGUUGGGCCAUUUCCCCUGCUCACUCCAUGCAUUUGCUCCCAUGUUGCAAUUACAGCUUCUAAGUAUAAACCUCAAACGGAGGCUCUCCUGCAUUUGUGGUGAGCAUAUGGACAAAUGGAAAAUAAACAGCCCAAGGAAUUUCUGGCA